GUGAGGAAUAUUGGUCAAUGGGAGGAAUCCUGAACCAGCCAUGCCGCGUGCAGGACGACGGCUCUACGAGUUGUAAACUGCUUUUGUACCGGGGUAAAAUGCCUUACGAGUAGGGUUUUGAAAGUACGGUACGAAUAAGGAUCGGCUAACUCCGUGCCAGCAGCCGCGGUAAUACGGAGGAUCCGAGCGUUAUCCGGAUUCAUUGGGUUUAAAGGGUGCGUAGGUUGUUUUAUAAGUUAGCGGUGAAAUACCGAUGCUCAACAUCGGGGCUGCCGCUAAUACUGUAGGACUAGAGAUCGGAUGCAGCAGGCGGAAUGUGUAGUGUAGCGGUGAAAUGCAUAGAUAUUACACAGAACACCGAUUGCGAAGGCAGCUUGCUAGGCCGGAUCUGACACUGAUGCACGAAAGCGUGGGGAUCGAACAGG
Molecule: ribosomal RNA, 425 nt
Filed under: uncultured bacterium
Lineage: Bacteria
Description: bacterial SSU rRNA
Rfam family: Bacterial small subunit ribosomal RNA
Source: RNAcentral